Molecule: ribosomal RNA, 1024 nt
Filed under: Euglena deses
Lineage: Eukaryota; Euglenozoa; Euglenophyceae; Euglenales; Euglenaceae
Description: partial large subunit ribosomal RNA
Rfam family: Eukaryotic large subunit ribosomal RNA
Source: RNAcentral
AGCUGGCUGGUGCCAUGAGGUGACUUCUGCCCAGUGCUCUGAUUGUCAAUGCGAAGAGAUUCAGCCAAGCGCCGGUAAACGGCGGGAGUAACUAUGACUCUCUUAAGGUAGCCAAAUGCCUCGUCAACCAAUUAUUGACGCGCAUGAAUGGAUCAACGAGAUUCCUGCUGUCCCUAGCCGGUGUCUGGUGAACCAACAACCAAGGGAACGGGCUUGGAAGUGUCAGCGGGGAAAGAAGACCCUGUUGAGUUUCACUCUAGUUCGAUACUGUGCAGCGACAUGUGGGGUGUAGCACUGGUGGGAGGCCAGCGUCAUCAGCCCAGUCACACUUGCAUACAGGAGACCCGCCGUCGAGCGGAACAAGCGAAGAAGGGGGACGCAACGCUCCACCGCCUCGAUUUCGUCCUCCCCCCGCAGGGGGGGCAACCCAGGUGACACCCCACGGGGUCGCUUCCGAAGGCGAGGAGCCAUUGGUGCAAACCAGCAGUGAAAUACCACUACCUUCACCGUCGCUUUACUCAUCGGGUUGCCAGGGAACGGAGGCCAUUUGGACAUCGACUCGCCCACAUUCCACACUGGGCGAGCCGUGGACCCUCUCCGCUUCGUGCACAAAGCGUGGGCAGCCCGCUGCCCGCGUGACCCUGUAGCCGCAAUCCGACCAUCAGAGGCCUCGAGACACCGAUCAGUUGGGGAGUUUGGCUGGGGCGGAACGCCUGUUACAGGACAACGCAGGCGUCCUGAAGCAAUGCUCAGAUGGAACAGAUAUCUCCCAGGGAGGAGAAGGCCAAAGGUGCUGCUGAUGUAGCGACUUUCAGUGCAAGUCCAAAAUAUGCAAGUGUGGCCAAAGGAUCCUUUGGUCCAGUGCACAGGGUUGGGACACCAAAGCCAGAGGUGUCAGAAAAAUUACCACAGGGAUAACUGGCUUGUGGCGGCCAAGCGUUCAAAGCGACGUUGCUUUUUGAUCCUCCGAUGUCGGCUCUUCCUAGCUUCCCACCUGCAGCCGAGUGGAAGGGUUGGAUUGUUC